GUCGUCAGCUCGUGUCGUGAGAUGUUGGGUUAAGUCCCGCAACGAGCGCAACCCUUGUCAUUAGUUGCUACAUUUGGUUGGGCACUCUAAUGAGACUGCCGGUGACAAGCCGGAGGAAGGUGGGGAUGACGUCAAGUCCUCAUGGCCCUUAUAGGUGGGGCUACACACGUCAUACAAUGGCUGGUACAAAGGGUUGCCAACCCGCGAGGGGGAGCUAAUCCCACAAAGCCAGUCGUAGUCCGGAUCGUAGUCUGCAACUCGACUACGUGAAGUCGGAAUCGCUAGUAAUCGUGGAUCAGAAUGUCACGGUGAAUACGUUCCCGGGUCUU
Molecule: ribosomal RNA, 329 nt
Filed under: uncultured Rhodoferax sp.
Lineage: Bacteria; Pseudomonadati; Pseudomonadota; Betaproteobacteria; Burkholderiales; Comamonadaceae
Description: bacterial SSU rRNA
Rfam family: Bacterial small subunit ribosomal RNA
Source: RNAcentral